Molecule: ribosomal RNA, 468 nt
Filed under: uncultured bacterium
Lineage: Bacteria
Description: partial 16S ribosomal RNA
Rfam family: Bacterial small subunit ribosomal RNA
Source: RNAcentral
GACGAACGCUGGCGGCGUGCUUAACACAUGCAAGUCGAACGGAAAGGCCCUGCUUUUGUGGGGUGCUCGAGUGGCGAACGGGUGAGUAACACGUGAGUAACCUGCCCUUGACUUUGGGAUAACUUCAGGAAACUGGGGCUAAUACCGGAUAGGAGCUCCUGCUGCAUGGUGGGGGUUGGAAAGUUUCGGCGGUUGGGGAUGGACUCGCGGCUUAUCAGCUUGUUGGUGGGGUAGUGGCUUACCAAGGCUUUGACGGGUAGCCGGCCUGAGAGGGUGACCGGCCACAUUGGGACUGAGGUACGGCCCAGACUCCUACGGGAGGCAGGAGUGGGGAAUAUUGCACGAUGGGCGGAAGCCUGAUGCAGCAACGCCGCGUGCGGGAUGACGGCCUUCGGUUUGUAAGCCGCUUUCGCCUGUGACGAAGCGUGAGUGAGGGUAAUGGGUAAAGAAGCACCGGCUAACUACGUG